This 253-nucleotide ribosomal RNA is filed under the name uncultured bacterium. RNAcentral describes it as "partial 16S ribosomal RNA". It matches the Rfam family "Bacterial small subunit ribosomal RNA", at positions 524 to 776 of the family's 1533-position model. The record is from RNAcentral.
UACAGAGGUCCCAAGCGUUAUUCGGAAUCACUGGGCUUAAAGGGUGCGUAGGCUGCGCUGCAAGUUGGGGGUGAAAUCCCUCGGCUUAACCGAGGAACUGCGCCCAAAACUGCUGUGCUCGAGGGAGAUAGAGGUGAGCGGAACUUAGGGUGGAGCGGUGAAAUGCGUUGAUAUCCUAAGGAACACCGGUGGCGAAAGCGGCUCACUGGAUCUCUUCUGACGCUGAGGCACGAAAGCUAGGGUAGCGAACGGG